Papaver somniferum (opium poppy) is the source of this 3774-nucleotide long non-coding RNA. RefSeq lists it as uncharacterized. Lineage: Eukaryota; Viridiplantae; Streptophyta; Magnoliopsida; Ranunculales; Papaveraceae. The record is from RefSeq and is a predicted model, not a curated record. The transcript is spliced from 2 exons.
CCCGUGGCAUCCCCUUAACCUUUGGGAGGAGCUAACUAGCGGUGGCCUAGUUAGGUUAAAUGUUUCGAUGAAACAUCCAGGAGUCUUAUCUUGUCCGUGAAAUAGAGAGAAAGAGAGGCGGAGAGAGAGCUUUGUCGGCGGCAAGAAAAGGAGAGAAAAGAGGGAGAAAUUUGUGGAGAAGUUUGAGGGAAGAAGUGGGGUUUUGCUAAGGGAGUGUUUGGCAAGGUCUCGGUGAGCUUAAUCCAUCAAUUUGGUGCACCUAUUCUUCUAUUCAAGCCUGGAGAUUUCUAGGGUUUGUUCAAAUCCUAGUUGUGAGUAUUUCUACUCUUGUUCUUGAUUGAUUAUUGUGAAUCUCGUCUAGUAUUUACUAUUAAGUGAAUGAAUUGUUGAUCCAUCCAUUGGAUCAGUGUAAUUUAGGCAAAUUGUUAUCCAAGUGUUAUAUGCACCUUGAAGAAUAGUGUAUCCCCAAAUUGGGAGUUGUGUGUAACCCAUUGUUUGAUUAUAGUGGAAGAUUUGCCUGUAAUUUUUUACCCUUCACCUUGGAGGGGUUUUUCCACGUAAUUUCCGGUGUCGUGUGAUUGCUUCUUAUAUCUUCACAGUUGUGUUAUUUCCGCAUUGUGUUUCAUUGAUUGUGUGGUUUUCGUAUUGCACGUAGCGGUUCGGAUUUUGCAAGUCUCCCCAACACAUGAAAGUCUUCAUAUUCUUCAGUGUUGUUCGUUUUAGUUUUAGUUUUCUUUUAGGAAAGCCACUGACAAGUUAUCAUUAUGUGAAUUUGGCCACGAGUACGUACCAUUAAUGGUCCAUUAUUAAUUUUGAAUUCCAUGAUCAAUAAUAAUAGCGUAUGUGUGUGUGUUGUAGGGUGAAUGUUAGUGUAAGCGUGCCAUGUGCACGUAUGGUUUAUAGAGUUAGAGAAUGACUUGAGUCGAGUAUAUAAUCUGGAGACAUCUCUGUAACAAAUUAUCUUUCCUAAUAUUCAAUUGAAUUUAAAUCGUUCACAGUAGAAAUGUGGAUUCUCACGAAUUUAUUAUGGUAUCAGUCCUGAGAAAUCAAUUUCUCAUGGGUAUCGAUCCAUAGCUUCCACUGUUCUUCAUCUCUGAUUCAUCUUCAAGAAGAUUUGUUCUUCAAUUUGAUAAGGUUUUCAAGAAGUGAAGAUUUGCAGGAAUUGGUGAGGUGUUGGAUUUGAUCCUGAUACUUAUUGCCACGUCGUCAAUUAGGAUCAAGCAUGUUUUGAGAUCUAAAAUUCAGUGUUAGGGUUUGAGCUCUUGGUAUUUCAAUUUCUUGUUGGUGUAUGGAUUGAAAUCUCUUACCUCAUCAACUAUCGAUAGAUUUUAUCUUUAGAUUACUCAGUUUCAUCUAAAUCUUUGUUCCUAAUCUCCAGUUUCAUCUUUAGAUUACUUUAGAUUUGAUCUCAUGUGUUCAAUUUCUACAUCACUAUUUCAACAAAACUCAAUUUCAUCUGCAAAUUCUGUUUUCAUCAUAACUUGGUAUGAUUUUGACCUAGUUCUUUUAUCAAAUCUUACUGGUAUUGAUUCCUGGAUCUAUUUGGUCUGAUCAUGCCUAUUUCUGCUACAAUAGUUAGUUAGGAAGAAGCUUAAUUUUGUUCCAUUGAAUGGUGGGAAAAUAUUCCUCUUAAAUCCAGUAGAAUGUUGGGGUACGUGUGUGUAUUGAUUGUUUCCUGCAUCAUUGAGUGCUUAAUUUUGCUUCUGUUAGAUCCUCCUCUCAAUGUUACUUUGGUAUUGUCCUCACAAUAGUGGUAUGUGAGUGAGUUGGUUUGUGUGUGUAAUGAUGGAACUUAGGAUGCUGUUUCGGGAUUGAAAUUGGUGAGAUAUAUAAGUACAGAUUGAUGUUCUUCUUGAUGAGUCUACAUUCAAUUCUGAUGUAUCCUGGUUUAGUUAUCUUUACUGUUGUUUUUUACUUCAUAUCCUAGUCAGUUUCCUAACUUUCAUAUUGGUACAUAAUAAUUGGUAUUUCAUCUGAAUCUCUGCUGGUAAUCUCCAAUUUCAUCUUUACAUUACUUUAGAUUUGAUCUCAUGUGUUCAAUUUCUACAUCACUAUCUCAACAAAACUCAAUUUCAUCUGCAAAUUCUGUUUUCAUCAUAACUUGGUAUGAUUUUGACCUAGUUCUUUUAUCAAAUCUUACUGGUAUUGAUUUCUGGAUCUAUUCGGUCCGAGCGUGACUAUUUCUGCUAUAAUAGUUAGUUAGGAAGAAGCUUAAUUUUGUUCCAUUGAAUAGUGGGGAAAGAUUCCUCUUAAAUCCAGUAGAAUGUUUGGGUACGUGUGUGUGUGUUGAUUGUUUGCUGCACCAUUGAGUGCUUAAUUUUGCUUCUGUUAGCUCCUCCUCUCAAUUACUUUGGUACAAUCCUCUCAGUAGUGGUAUGUGAGUGAGUUGUUUUGUGUGUGUAAUGAUGGAACUGAGGAUGCUGUUUCGGGAUUGAAAUUGGUGAGAAAUAAGUACAGAUUGAUGUGCUUCUUGAUGAGUCUACAUUCAAUUCUGAUGUAGCCCGACUUAGUUAUCUUUACUGUUGUUUUUUACUUCAUAUCCUAGUCAGUUUCCUAUCUUUCAUAUUGGUACAUAAUAAUUGGUACUUUCAUAAGUACUGCAAUAAGAUUCUUCAACUGUUUCUCUACAUUGUUAAUUGAUGGAUAUCAACUACAGUUCUUAUGUGUUUAACGAUGCUUUGGCUCUGGUUUGUUGCCUAAGUGGAUCUAUGUAGAGAGAGAAUGUUUUGGUGCUUAUUAUUUCCUAUGCAGUAGUAUUAAUUAUGCCCACUUCAGUUUUAAUUGCUGGAACCAGUUGAGAGGAUGGUGAUCUUGCAAUCUGUGAGCAAGUGUGUUGUAUAAGUUCUUUUGAAAAUAUUUUUGCCAGCAAGUAAUGGUGGUUACAGAUUUGCAUAAGCUUUCAGCUCCAUUCUGGUAGGAGAAUGUUACAUAACCAUGUUCUGUAGAAUAUCUAUUGAGGCUACAGUGGUGUAGUCUUCUACACAACAUCCAAGGAUAGUUCAAUGCAGUCACUACUCAUCAUGGCUUUCCUGCAAGAUUUUUUGUUGAUUUUGCUGCUGCUAACGUUUCAGUGAACCGGAAUCCCUAUUCUCUAUGUGCCAGAGCUGCUAAUAAUGAUAAAUUCCUACUUCUGGUUUACUUUUUCUCUUGCACUAUCUCAAUCCAGAACUACAACAUCACCUAUUUUACAACUACUCAUGAUGUUGUAUACUUCUCAAUCUGCUGCUGCACCAUCAAUGCAAUUACUAUCUGCUCCAACUGUUGCUACCUAGAGGCUAUGCAAACUACUUCUACAACAUCAAGGGCAACUUCUUUUUCACCUGCUACAUUACUUCUUAAUUGCAAAAUGUACUACUAGACUCAACUGAUGUUGUUGCUUGCUCCCAUCUCCUGUUUUUUGUGAACUGCAGCAUCACCUAACUCGCAGCUGUAGGGUGAAUUGGUGUUUGCUUAUACUCUGCAACUUCAAUUGGUUUUCACUUUAGCGUAUGUAAGUUUGUGUGCGCUGUAGGGUGAACAAGAUCAAUGUACCUUCAAGGCACCUUGACCUUGAGGGAGGGUAAUAGCGUAUGUAAGUGUGUGUGUGUUGUAGAGUGAAUGUUAGUGUAGGCGUGCCAUGUGCACGUAUGGUUUAUAGAGUUAGAGAAUGAGUUGAGUCGAGUAUAUAACCUGGAGACAUCUCUGUAACCGCAUACAUUUUAUUAUUACAUCCAACACUGGAUUGUACACUUACAUCAGAUUAAAAGGAGAGAACACAAUACAAUACGUAGUUAC